GAUGAACGCUAGCUACAGGCUUAACACAUGCAAGUCGAGGGGUAACAAGAGAAAAGCUUGCUUUUCUUGUUGACGACCGGCGCACGGGUGAGUAACGAGUAUCCAACCUGCCUAUAACUAGGGAAUAACCUUGCGAAAGUAAGACUAAUACCCUAUGAUUUCCUUUGAUGACAUCAGAUUAGGAAUAAAGAUUUAUCGGUUGUGGAUGGGGAUGCGUCUGAUUAGCUUGUUGGCGGGGUAACGGCCCACCAAGGCAACGAUCAGUAGGGGUUCUGAGAGGAAGGUCCCCCACAUUGGAACUGAGACACGGUCCAAACUCCUACGGGAGGCAGCAGUGAGGAAUAUUGGUCAAUGGGCGGAAGCCUGAACCAGCCAAGUAGCGUGCAGGAUGACGGCCCUAUGGGUUGUAAACUGCUUUUAUACAGGAAUAAAGUUAGCCACGUGUGGUUAUUUGUAGGUACUGUAUGAAUAAGGACCGGCUAAUUCCGUGCCAGCCGCCGCGGUAA
RNAcentral lists this ribosomal RNA (506 nucleotides) under uncultured bacterium. Its description in RNAcentral is "partial 16S ribosomal RNA". It matches the Rfam family "Bacterial small subunit ribosomal RNA", at positions 28 to 523 of the family's 1533-position model. The record is from RNAcentral.